GAUCAUGGCUCAGAUUGAACGCUGGCGGCAUGCCUUACACAUGCAAGUCGAACGGUAGAGGAGCAAUCCUCGAGAGUGGCGAACGGGUGAGUAAUGCAUCGGAACGUGCCCAGUAGUGGGGGAUAGCCCGGCGAAAGCCGGAUUAAUACCGCAUGUUACCUGAGGGUGAAAGCGGGGGACUCGCAAGAGCCUCGCGCUACUGGAGCGGCCGAUGUCAGAUUAGCUAGUUGGUAGGGUAAAAGCCUACCAAGGCGACGAUCCUUAGCUGUUCUGAGAGGAAGAUCAGCCACACUGGGACUGAGACACGGCCCAGACUCCUACGGGAGGCAGCAGUGGGGAAUAUUGGACAAUGGGCGAAAGCCUGAUCCAGCCAUGCCGCGUGCGGGAAGAAGGCCUUCGGGUUGUAAACCGCUUUUGUCAGGGAAGAAAUCUUCUGGGCUAACACCUCGGGAGGAUGACGGUACCUGAAGAAUAAGCACCGGCUAACUACGUG
This 493-nucleotide ribosomal RNA is filed under the name uncultured bacterium. Its description in RNAcentral is "bacterial SSU rRNA". It matches the Rfam family "Bacterial small subunit ribosomal RNA", at positions 15 to 507 of the family's 1533-position model. The record is from RNAcentral.